GGAAAAUGGAAGGUAGGCAGUGGAGUAAGACGGACACCUGGAAGAAGAGCUAAUUGGGAGUAACUCCUCCUUCUGCUGCUAUCCUGACAUGCAUUCUGCAAACACAUGACUGCUGGAUGAGCAAAGACUUGCAAGAUGGACUUUGCAGACGCAGGUGCAGCACUCAAGGCUGGGAGCAAGGCGAAGUACAGAAGGAUCAGCCAAAAUUACCCAGGGCAGCAACAGGAAUGAAC
Tyto alba (common barn owl) is the source of this 233-nucleotide long non-coding RNA. RefSeq lists it as uncharacterized. NCBI's taxonomy places the organism in Eukaryota, Metazoa, Chordata, Aves, Strigiformes, Tytonidae. The record is from RefSeq and is a predicted model, not a curated record. The transcript is spliced from 3 exons.